Molecule: long non-coding RNA, 922 nt
Organism: Suricata suricatta (meerkat)
Lineage: Eukaryota; Metazoa; Chordata; Mammalia; Carnivora; Herpestidae
Exons: 2
Source: RefSeq, a predicted model, not a curated record
GCUGUGGGCGGUCUGGGGAGCGGGCGUGUAGUGUGGGUUUUUGGCCCUGUGGCUCCGGGCAUCUCCUCACGCUGCCCCCCACAGGCAGGUCUGUGUCCACACAGGAGGUCGACCCUGCGCCUUGGGGUCCCCGUCCCUCUCAGGAAGGCCAGCUCUGUACCAGCCCGCUCCUCGCUGCCCGGUGUGGCCACCAGGUGGGCCCCGCCGCCACACGCUCCCUGGCUUCCCCCUCAGGCAGGGGCGCGUGGCCUUAUUGGAGCCGUGGCCAUGAUCUGACACUGACCGGGAAGUGGCUUUCUCCCUAGGGAGAGCAGGUGUCUUUCAGAGGAGGCUUGUAGGCGAGACUCCUGGCGGGACCGGAGGGCCCUGGUCACAGCAGAGCGCGCUGACCCACGUGGUGGGCCUGCCGUGGCAAGUGACCCCAAGGGCGGAGCGUCCCUGGAAGAGCCGAGCCGCAGCCCAGCGGCCACACCCCAGCCUCACAGAAGACAGCGGGUGCACAAGGAGGGCGGGACGGAAGACUGCUGAGUGCAGGCAGGUGAGAGUUACCGAACAGAAGAGCGGCUUCCCAGGGAGCCGCCGAAGACCUCCCGGCCGGUGGGCUCCCCGGGCUCCGGACGCCGACCGGACCCGUGUUCUGCCGGCUCCCGAAAUCCUCCCGCCCUGGUUGGUGCCGUUUCUCCCAGAGUGAAAGCAUUUGCCGACCUUAAUGAGCUCUUCCCUGGGUGACUAAAGGCCACUAUCCCGAGCAUCGAGGGUGACUGACUAAGACUGGAGGUAAACAGAAUUACAGUGAAACCAGAAUAUUCCCUGGAAGACAAACACUGGCAGUUGCUAAUUCUCGUGUUAUUUCUUUUUCUUACAAUCACACAGAUGGAAAAUGCCUGUGGUUUGGGCUCUGAGUAAAAUAUUAUAAGAUUUA